GCAAGUCGAACGGAGUUGAACCUGCAGCAAUGCGGUUUCGAUUCAGUGGCGUACGGGUGCGUAACACGUGAGUAAUCUACCGGUAAGUGGGGGAUAGCCCGCCGAAAGGCGAAUUAAUACCGCAUGUGGCUAAGGGGAUGUUUAGUUUCUCCUAUAGCUAAAGCCAUUUUGGCGCUUUCCGAUGAGCUCGCGGCCUAUCAGCUUGUUGGUGGAGGUAAUGGCCCACCAAGGCGAUGACGGGUAGCUGGUCUGAGAGGACGAUCAGCCACACUGGAACUGAGACACGGUCCAGACACCUACGGGUGGCAGCAGUCGAGAAUUUUUCACAAUGGGGGGAACCCUGAUGAAGCAACGCCGCGUGGAGGAUGAAGGGCUUCGCGCUCGUAAACUCCUGUCAAGCGGGAACAAGAAAGUGAUAGUACCGCUAGAGGAAGAGACGGCUAACUCUGUGCCAGCAGCCGCGGUAAUACAGAGGUCUCGAGCGUUGUUCGGAUUUAUUGGGCGUAAAGGGUGCGUAGGCGGUGUGGCAAGUCAAGUGUGAA
Molecule: ribosomal RNA, 542 nt
Filed under: Candidatus Xiphinematobacter sp.
Lineage: Bacteria; Pseudomonadati; Verrucomicrobiota; Spartobacteria
Description: bacterial SSU rRNA
Rfam family: Bacterial small subunit ribosomal RNA
Source: RNAcentral